GCUGUCGUCAGCUCGUGUUGUGAAAUGUUGGGUUAAGUCCCGCAACGAGCGCAACCCUUAUCCUUUGUUGCCAGCGGUCCGGCCGGGAACUCAAAGGAGACUGCCAGUGAUAAACUGGAGGAAGGUGGGGAUGACGUCAAGUCAUCAUGGCCCUUACGACCAGGGCUACACACGUGCUACAAUGGCGCAUACAAAGAGAAGCGACCUCGCGAGAGCAAGCGGACCUCAUAAAGUGCGUCGUAGUCCGGACUGGAGUCUGCAACUCGACUCCAUGAAGUCGGAAUCGCUAGUAAUCGUGGAUCAGAAUGCCACGGUGAAUACGUUCC
This 326-nucleotide ribosomal RNA is filed under the name Salmonella enterica. RNAcentral's name for it is "bacterial SSU rRNA". It matches the Rfam family "Bacterial small subunit ribosomal RNA", at positions 1048 to 1374 of the family's 1533-position model. The record is from RNAcentral. Lineage: Bacteria; Pseudomonadati; Pseudomonadota; Gammaproteobacteria; Enterobacterales; Enterobacteriaceae.